GCGAGUGUGGUGAAGUGGUUAACACACCAGAUUGUGGCUCUGGCAUGCGUGGGUUCGAUCCCCAUCACUCGCC
This 73-nucleotide transfer RNA is filed under the name Streptococcus pneumoniae. RNAcentral describes it as "tRNA-His". It matches the Rfam family "tRNA". Rfam says of the family: Transfer RNA (tRNA) molecules are approximately 80 nucleotides in length. Their secondary structure includes four short double-helical elements and three loops (D, anti-codon, and T loops). RNAcentral also lists the same sequence under 2 other names. Lineage: Bacteria; Bacillati; Bacillota; Bacilli; Lactobacillales; Streptococcaceae. The record is from RNAcentral.